UGGGAGGAAGUUGUUGCUCAACCGCUUAAAUUAGCGGUAGCGAGAAGCCUGGCGAUUGGUGCCUGGAUUGUAUCGCGUUUCCAAGGCGAAGCUGGAGCGGCGGCGGCGCCGGGGACAGCAGGGGAAGUCCAGUGCGGCUCAGCCCGGUCUGGCCAGGGGUUGGGGACGCGACCAUGAGUUUGGCCUUGAGGAAUGAUCUUGCAGUAGACAAAACCAAAAGGAAGAAAAGAAGAGAAUUGACUGAAGAACAGAAGCAAGAAAUUAAAGAUGCUUUUGAGUUGUUUGACACAGACAAAGAUAAAGCAAUAGAUUAUCACGAAUUAAAGGUGGCAAUGAGAGCCUUGGGUUUUGAUGUAAAAAAAGCUGAUGUGCUAAAAAUACUUAAAGAUUAUGAUAGAGAUGCAACAGGCAAAAUCACCUUUGAAGAUUUUAAUGAAGUUGUGACAGACUGGAUAUUGGACAGAGAUCCACAAGAAGAGAUACUCAAAGCAUUCAAAUUAUUUGAUGAUGAUGACUCAGGUAAAAUAAGCUUGAGAAACCUGCGCCGUGUUGCUAGAGAACUAGGUGAAAACAUGUCUGAUGAAGAACUACGGGCUAUGAUUGAAGAAUUUGAUAAAGAUGGAGAUGGAGAAAGUUAGAACGAAGAUCUUUUGGGUGCUUUAACUAUAUGAAUAUCCACUGCUUAACACGUUUGGCUUUCAUUUACAUGUAAAUUUAACUCUGGAGUUUGCAGUGCUUAGUUGGGGAUAUUAAGUACAACAUCUCUGUAACUUUCACUCUUAAGUUGGGUGUGGCCCUGCCUGUGUGUGUGCUGGAGGAGGCUUAAUAGCUUGGCUCAGCAAGACAGUCAACCAGGAGGAGUUCAUUGCUAUUAUGACCGGAGAUGUUUAAAGUUACAAGAAAAUGAACUCAACAACAAAAAGGGAGGAUUAUUGGCUGUUAACAUUUUAAUUGCCAUCUUAUGGUUCUGUUUAUUUCUGUAGCUGGACCCAUGCAAAAAAAUUAUUUUCCUCAAAGGACCAAAAUAAACAUAUGUUUUACGUACUGAUACUUCAGUAAUUUGUAACAUUAAUUUUUAGAGUAAGCAGUGUUAAGUUUCUAAAAUGUUUGAGUAUUCAUUUGUAAAAUAGCUUUGUAUGAGAUUUCUAAAUUAAAUCAUAUUCUAAAAAUCUUUUGACGUUUACUUUGUUAGCAGUAGCUGUGGCCUUAGUUUUGAUAUAUAAAGUUUUAACAAACUUCCAUUUUUAAUAAAAUGUUCUUUUAUUAUUGGUA
This is an RNA transcript of Chelonia mydas (Green sea turtle), 1272 nucleotides long. It is a transcript of the gene named centrin 3, with no coding region annotated. The transcript has 7 exons. The record is from RefSeq and is a predicted model, not a curated record. Lineage: Eukaryota; Metazoa; Chordata; Testudines; Cheloniidae.